Molecule: ribosomal RNA, 431 nt
Filed under: uncultured bacterium
Lineage: Bacteria
Description: partial 16S ribosomal RNA
Rfam family: Bacterial small subunit ribosomal RNA
Source: RNAcentral
AACGAACGCUGGCGGCAGGCUUAACACAUGCAAGUCGAACGCCCCGCAAGGGGAGUGGCAGACGGGUGAGUAACGCGUGGGAACAUACCCUUUCCUGCGGAAUAGCUCCGGGAAACUGGAAUUAAUACCGCAUACGCCCUACGUGGGAAAGAUUUAUCGGGGAAGGAUUGGCCCGCGUUGGAUUAGCUAGUUGGUGGGGUAAAGGCCUACCAAGGCGACGAUCCAUAGCUGGUCUGAGAGGAUGAUCAGCCACAUUGGGACUGAGACACGGCCCAAACUCCUACGGGAGGCAGCAGUGGGGAAUAUUGGACAAUGGGCGCAAGCCUGAUCCAGCCAUGCCGCGUGAGUGAUGAAGGCCUUAGGGUUGUAAAGCUCUUUCACCGAUGAAGAUAAUGACGGUAGUCGGAGAAGAAGCCCCGGCUAACUUCGUG